AUUUUGAAUUUCAGAUAAACAAUGAUUUUUGUUUUAGUGUAAGUACAUCCUGUGCAAUAUUUGGGAUAUACUUAUACUAAAAACUGAUUCAUUAAACAAUUGAAA
Molecule: microRNA precursor, 105 nt
Filed under: Tursiops truncatus (common bottlenose dolphin)
Lineage: Eukaryota; Metazoa; Chordata; Mammalia; Artiodactyla; Delphinidae
Description: miRNA (ENSTTRG00000024456.1)
Source: RNAcentral